GGAUAGAGGCCUACCAUGGUGGUAACGGGUAACGGGGUGUUAGGGCACGACACCGGAGAGGGAGCCUGAGAAACGGCUACCACAUCCAAGGAUGGCAGCAGGCGCGCAAAUUACCCAAUCCCGACACGGGGAGGUAGUGACAAUAAAUAACAAUACGGGGUUCUUUCGGAUCUCGUAAUUGGAAUGAGUACAAUUUAAAUCUCUUAACGAGGAACAAUUGGAGGGCAAGUCUGGUGCCAGCAGCCGCGGUAAUUCCAGCUCCAAUAGCGUAUAUUAAGUUGUUGCAGUUAAAAAGCUCGUAGUUGAAUUUCGGGGUUAGUAGGUUGGUCAUGCCUCUGGUAUGUACUGGUCUCACUGAUUCCUCCUUCCUUAUGAACCGUAAUGCCAUUAAUUUGGUGUUGCGGGGAAUUUGGACUGUUACUUUGAAAAAAUUAGAGUGUUUAAAGCAAGCUAACGCUUGAAUACAUUAGCAUGGAAUAAUGAAAUAGGACGUUCGAUCUUAUUUUGUUGGUUUCUAGGAUUGACGUAAUGAUUAAUAGGGAUAGUUGGGGGCAUUAGUAUUCAAUUGUCAGAGGUGAAAUUCUUGGAUUUAUUGAAGACUAACUACUGCGAAAGCAUUUGCCAAGGAUGUUUUCAUUAAUCAAGAACGAAAGUUAGGGGAUCGAAGACGAUCAGAUACCGUCGUAGUCUUAACCAUAAACUAUGCCGACUA
This 712-nucleotide ribosomal RNA is filed under the name uncultured fungus. RNAcentral's name for it is "SSU rRNA". It matches the Rfam family "Eukaryotic small subunit ribosomal RNA", at positions 331 to 1048 of the family's 1831-position model. The record is from RNAcentral. Lineage: Eukaryota; Fungi.